GCCGGGACCGACGGACGGACAGGUCUCCGGGUAGCCUCGGCUUCGCAGGCGCAUCGACGACAUCUCGCGGGUCUCCUUUCCUUUCCUUCCGACCCCUCCUCAAGGUGUUAGGAAAGGGGUGUUCCCGGGAACGGAGGAGUGUUCACAGUGACCGUAGAACGUAACUACUGAAAAUAAUGGGAUGCGACAGCAUACAGGAACAUGUCAUCAUCCACGUGGGAAAACGAAAUAUCUGACCUCCAGGAACUUCUCCAUUAGCACCGGCAUGAUCAUCUCAUCCACGAUCCAUGGCGCUUGAGGCUGGGAUAAGUCACUCUGCUCACCUGCUCAUGUCCACCCAUCUGUGCUGCAGCCUGUCCUCCUGCCACUGUUGACAGGAUUCCAGCCUGGGCAACAUGGAGAAACCCUGUCUCUACUAAAAAUGCAAAAUAUUAGCUGAACAUGAUUGAUGUGAACCUGCAGUCCAGCUACCCAGGAGGCUGAGAGACAGGACCUUGCUCUGUCACCCAGGCUGGAGAGCAGUGGCGCAAUCAUAGCUCACUGCAGUCUGCAACUCCCAGACUCAAGCGAUUGUCUGACCUUAGCCUCCUGAGUAGCUAGGACAACAGGUGUGCACCACCAUACCCAGUGAGGACACAGCCAGAAGACAGAAGUCUGCAGCCCAGAAGAGGGCCCUCACCAGAACCUGACCUUUGAUCUCAGACACUGCAGCCUUCAGAACAAUCAGAAAUUAAUUUUUGUUUUUAAGCUUCCCAGUAUAUGGUCAUUUGUUAUAGCAGCCCCAACUGACUGAGACACACUGUAUACCUACACAUAGGAAUAAUAAACCUUGCCACAUAUUUCUCUUUUU
Long non-coding RNA from Callithrix jacchus (white-tufted-ear marmoset), 850 nucleotides. RefSeq lists it as uncharacterized. Lineage: Eukaryota; Metazoa; Chordata; Mammalia; Primates; Cebidae. The record is from RefSeq and is a predicted model, not a curated record.